GGAGUGAUGCUCGAGUGGUUGAAGAGGCACGCCUGGAAAGCGUGUAUACGCCAAAAGCGUAUCGGGGGUUCGAAUCCCCCUCCCUCCGCAA
Molecule: transfer RNA, 91 nt
Filed under: Tannerella sp. 6_1_58FAA_CT1
Lineage: Bacteria; Pseudomonadati; Bacteroidota; Bacteroidia; Bacteroidales; Tannerellaceae
Also listed under: 5 other names
Description: tRNA-Ser
Rfam family: tRNA
About the family: Transfer RNA (tRNA) molecules are approximately 80 nucleotides in length.
Source: RNAcentral